UGCGCUGCUGAGAAGGGGACUUCUGUUUGUGUGUGUCUCAGAGAGGGGGGCUGUUUUAAGUUCAGUUAUUUUACCAUACGGACAUCGUACAUCCAGAUGAACUGCGGCUGAUUUCUGGUCCUCUGUUAUGUCCAACGUACCGAUUCCUCACACUUACAACGGAAGGUGCAUCAUGACCUCUCUCUGGGUCAUUGGCCUGUUUCUGAUUGGCGACUGCAUUUCCACGUCCAGUCCGUUGAAGGCUAAAGAGGGCUCCUGUGUGAAGAUCUUGAUUGACAUGAAGAUUCCGAUGCUGGGUGGAAAUGUUGUCUGGUUGAAGAACGCAACAUGGAAUUCAACUUCAAACGAUUUUGAGGGCACUGUUGUGUACAGCCUCAAAGCUGACAAACCUGCUGCGAAGGAAUUUGAAAACCGAGUAUCCGUGGGCACCAGUCCGGAUCGUACGACCUCCCAAUUGACCAUCAGUAAUUUGAGACUGGAGGACAAUGGAACAUACAUGGCUAGAUAUUAUACAAAUGAUCAACAAUGGGGCAACAGAAACAUGAGUCUUGAGGUUGAGAGUAAGUUCCUCUGAAUUGAUGUAUAUAAGGGAAGCCCCUUCACGCUUACCAUUCAGUCGUUAUUCUGAUGAAUAACGGCCUGUAGCGUAGUGGUUAAGGUACAUGACUGGGAAACGCAAGGUCGGUGGUUCUAAUCCAGGUGUAGCCACAAUAAGAUCCGCACAGCUGUUGGGCCCUUGAGCAAGGCCCUUAGCCCUGCAUUGCUCCAGGGGAGGAUUGUCUCCUGCUUAGUCUAAUCAACUGUACGUUGCUCUGGAUAAGAGCAUCUGCCAAAUGCCAAUAAUGCAAU
Conger conger (European conger) is the source of this 849-nucleotide long non-coding RNA. RefSeq lists it as uncharacterized. The record is from RefSeq and is a predicted model, not a curated record. NCBI's taxonomy places the organism in Eukaryota, Metazoa, Chordata, Actinopteri, Anguilliformes, Congridae. The transcript is spliced from 3 exons.